CCUGUUCACCCGAAUAGUCUACACUGUACCCAAUAUGUAGUAUUUUAUCCCUUAUCCUCCUUCCAGCCCUCCCCCCCGAGUCCCCAAGGUCCAUUAUAUCACUUUUAUGCCUUUCUGUCCUCAUAGCUUAGCUCCCACUUAUAAGCCAGCACCAUUUGUUCAAAAGAUUGUCCUUUCCCCAGUGAGUAUUCUUGGCAUCUUUGCCAACAAUCAGUUGUCUGUAAGUAUGUGGAUUAGUUUCUGGGUUCUCUAUUCUGUUCCAUUAGUCUUUGUGUCUAUUUUUAUGCCAGUACCAUGCUGUUUUGGUUAUUACAGUUUUUUAGUAUAUUUUGAGGCCUGAUAGUGUGAUACCUCCAGAUUUGUUCUUUUUGCUCAGGAUUGCUUUGGCUAUUUGAGGUCUCUUGUAGUUUCAUACAAAUUUUAGGAUUUUUUUUUCUAUUUCUGUGAAGAAUGUCAUUGGUAUUUUGAUAGGGAUUGCAUUAAAUAUGUAGCUUGCUUUGGGUAGUAUUAUUAUGUUAAUAAUAUGAAUUUUUCCAAAUCUGCGAGCAUGGGAUGUCUUUCCAUUUGUUUGUAUCCUCUUCAAUAUCUUUCAUCAGUGUUUUGUAGUUUUCCUUGUAGACAUCUUUCACCUCCUUGGUUAAAUUUAUUCUUAGGUAUUUUAUUUUAUUUUUUGGUAGCUACUGUAAAUGGGAUUGCUUUCUUGAUUUCUUUUUCAGCUAAGUUUGUUGUACAUGUAUGGAAAUAACUGCUGAUUUGUGUAUGUAAUUUUUUUUUUUAUCCUGCAACUUUACUGAAUUUAUCAGUUUUAAGAGUUCUUUGGUAGAGUCUUUAGGUUUUUAUAUAUAUGUGAUCCUGUCAUCUACAAACAGGGACAAUUUGACUUCCUCCUUUUCCAUUUGGAUGCCUUUUAUUUCAAGUUCUUGCCUAAUUGCUCUGGGUAGGACUUCUAGUACUACGUUGAAUAAGAGUAAUGAGAGUGGACAUUCUUUUUUUUUGACGGAGUCUCACACUGUCACCCAGGCUGGAGUACAGUGGCGUGAUCUCCGCUUACUGCAACCUCCACGUCCCGGGUUCAAGUGAUUCUCCUGCCUCAGCCUCCCGAGUAGCUGGGAUUAGAGGCAUGUGCCACCAUGCCCGGCUAAUUUUUUGUAUUUUUAGUAGAGACAGGGUUUCACCAUGUUGGCCAGGCUGGUCUCGAACUACCUCGUGAUCUGCCUGCCUCGGCCUCCCAAAGUGCUGGGAUUAUAGGUGUGAGCCACUGCGCCUGGCCAUUCUUGUCUUGUUCCAGUUCUCAGAGGAAAAGCUUUCAGCUUUUCUCCAUUCAGUAAGAUGUUAACUGUGGGUUUUUUUUUUUUUUUUUUUUUUUUUUUUUGAGACGGAGUCUCACUCUGUAGCCCAGGCUGGAGUGCAGUGGUGAGAUUUGCACUCACUGCAACUUCUGCCUCUCGGGUCCCAUAUCAAGCAGUUCUCCUGCCUCAGCCUCUCGAGUAGCUGGGAUUACAGGAACGCACCACCUUGCCCAGCUAAUUUUUGUAUUUUUGGUAGAGACGGGCUUUCACCGUGUUGGCCAGGCUGGUCUUGAACUUCUGACCUCAUGAUCCAUCCACCUCAGCCUCCCAAAGUGCUGGAAUUAUAGGCGUGAGCCACUGCACCCAGCCUGCUGUGGGUAUUUUUAAUCUUUUUGAAAGUAGAUUGUAGUCACUGUCUAAUCUCUUGUAUUUCUUGCAAAGCACUCAUUACUAGUCUUUGAGUUCUUAAUAUUUGUUUUUUAAAAUAAUUUUAAAAAAUUUUAUACCCUUAGAUCUGCAUAUUGUUUUUUAUGUAGUAAAACUUUUUAUUUGGCUUUAGAUAACUUGGUUAACUUGGUUUCCUGUUUAUUUACUUCCUUGAGUAUAAUUUUGCUGAUGUUUUGGUUCUUAUUGAUAAUUUUCUUUAUUUGGAGCGGUUUUAUAGUUUAUGUAAAUGUUUUAAUGGAUUUCAAAAGGAGUUAGUUUCUUACAGAUACUUUAAAAGCAAAUAAGUAAAUAAAAGGAGUGGGUUCUUGGUGGUAUUACUGGCAUUACCAUCAGAAGACCCUUCAUAU
This 2083-nucleotide long non-coding RNA is filed under the name Homo sapiens (human). RNAcentral's name for it is "HSALNT0034100". Lineage: Eukaryota; Metazoa; Chordata; Mammalia; Primates; Hominidae. The record is from RNAcentral.